GACGAUGUGGAGGCUCAAAGAUGCAGUGUGUGUAGGCUCCUAGUAGGGCGUGGCCCAUAGGCACAUGCAGACUUGCAGGACGUGCGGCCCAAGCACAGGCGCAGGGGCACAGUCCAGGAGCGUGACCCUGUGCAGGGAAAUUGGCGCGGUCUAUGAUGGACCGCAUGGGAUGUCAUGGUCCACAUAGCCGCCAUAGACCGGCCCGAUCUAAAUGCCAAAAAUCAUGGUCUACGGCAUUCCUUUGCACGAUCCAACUGUCAAGAAGCCACACGAUUGUGAUCGGAUGGUGAUCAAGGGUGUUCGGGCGUGAUCUUGCAUGAUCAAACUUCCACGGAGGUCUGCAGGGAAGAUCCAAUGGUCGAAAAUAUUGUUGAAUCCUGUUGAAAGUUCGAUUCUGAUCUGAAAUAGAUUUUGGGCCUAUAAAAGUAGGUGCACGGACC
RNAcentral lists this long non-coding RNA (440 nucleotides) under Elaeis guineensis (African oil palm). RNAcentral describes it as "long non-coding RNA (EGUI_LNC032629)". Lineage: Eukaryota; Viridiplantae; Streptophyta; Magnoliopsida; Arecales; Arecaceae. The record is from RNAcentral.